RNAcentral lists this ribosomal RNA (255 nucleotides) under uncultured bacterium. Its description in RNAcentral is "partial 16S ribosomal RNA". It matches the Rfam family "Bacterial small subunit ribosomal RNA", at positions 524 to 776 of the family's 1533-position model. The record is from RNAcentral.
GACAUAGGUCGCAAACGUUAUCCGGAAUUAUUGGGCGUAAAGGAUGCGUAGAUGGCUUGAUAAGUUAUUAGUGGAAAAUCGGGGCUCAACCCCGUGGAAGUUAGUAAUACUGUCAGGCUUGAGUACAGGAGGGGUUAACGGAACUCCAUGUGGAGCGGUAAAAUGCGUAGAUAUAUGGAAGAACACCGAUAAGGCGAAGGCAGUUAACUAUUCUGUUACUGACAUUGAGGCAUGAAAGCGUGGGGAGCAAAAAGG